This is a long non-coding RNA of Oncorhynchus nerka (sockeye salmon), 2529 nucleotides long. RefSeq lists it as uncharacterized. Lineage: Eukaryota; Metazoa; Chordata; Actinopteri; Salmoniformes; Salmonidae. The record is from RefSeq and is a predicted model, not a curated record. The transcript is spliced from 2 exons.
CAACUACAUUGAAGCAUUCAUUCUAUCGAUGUAUGACAUACUUUCUGGUCACUCAGGGCCAAACACUUCUCUCUACAACAGAAAUGAUCCCAGAAAAAGAGAAUUCCUCUGUGGAAUAUGUAGACUGUGGACUACCUCUGUGGAUUAUCUCCUCUACCUACUUGUUUGACAACAAUGAAGAAAAAAUGUAAUAUAUUUUGCUUUCUUUUUGGGUCAAAAGAGGAUGUUUUUUUGUUGCUUGUGUGAAUAUUUCUCAAUAUAUUUAUAAUCUAUUUGACCUUGUUAUGUCAUUUCCUCUUUAUGCAAUAGUAGAUGCUGCAAGACUGUCAAAUAGUCCAUUUGUCACCAUGACCCCAGAGCAUGAACCUUCAGCCCUGCUCUGCCCUGACACUUUACCGACUGACAAUCUAAUGACAUUUCCUGUUUUGGCUGUAUGAAUAAGAUUUUUUCUGAUGACUCUGGUUUUCUAAACAUUGUAUGUGCCCAAUGUUACCUUAUUUGGAUUCAUAAACUCUUAUCAAGCUAUUUUUUUCUUCUAUAUGACUCAUCAGUUUAUAAUUGUGUUCCUAUUUGUCAACAUUGUUUCCCUCUUCUUUCAUCCUGAAAAAAUAUGUGUUGAGAAAGUCAGAGGACCAGAAAGUCACUAACCCAUCCAGCCCACUCCACCACACAUUGUUUAUGAUAUACAGUACCUCCCACUAAGGAGGUGAGCAGAACAAUAUUUUUAGAGGUGUAUAAAAGGAAGAGAGUUUGGUGAGUGGUCUCAGUACCCCCAGUGUGACCUCUCUUCAGGUAGCUUGACCCUUCUAGUUAAUGUUUUGAAAGGUCUUGACAGAAGGGACCAUGGGAAAGACUCCUAGUGGACAUUAAAGCCUGGGGUUAUGUGGGAAAGGGCCUGUGAGUUCCCAGGGGUCACACAGGGUCAACUUUCAUGUCAGCAGAGACAUACCUGUCCAGGGGCACCAAGGCACUUUUCCAGGAAAUUACCCUCACUUGUCUCAAUUAGAGAGCUGCUACUGAAAGGCUGCCCUUUGUUGAUGAGAGGAAUGAUGAAGUAAUAAGACCAAACUCUCUCUGUCUCUGCUGCAUUAAGAAAAGGAGGCUUUUAGCACAGGGUCACGAUAAGAUACCUUCCUUGUUGUCCUUUGCCCCUCUCCUUGAGGACAUGUAGACAUACUAUUGCCAGGGGAACUUUUUAUAAGCAAACUAAUGCAUGCCACAUGACAUAAUAUCAGUUAAUUAAGUGAUAAUGCCCGAGAAGCUGGUGUUUAGAGGAUAUAUUGGCAUUAUUUUGAUGAAUUUAUUCAUACUAUUUCAUCCUUCCAUGAGAUAGUCCCGACACAAAUUUAGGGUUGCUACCCAUUCGUUCUAUCGGUUCGGGUGCCAGAGACGUGACCCAGUUGUUAAGUCUUUUUGUUCUGUAUCUAUAGAUGCGACCCAGUCAUUCGAUUUAAAUGUUCUAUUGACAUACUGGCUGGCAAUGUUCUUAUGCCUUGCUUUCUAGGUAGCCAACUACGGCUAACUUACAGUCACAACAAAAAGUGCCGCCAGAAUAACAGCAGAGUAGCUGCUUUUGCGUUUGUUUAAGUUGUUUUCUACUGACAUUUAUUUGUAUACAUCCAUCACAAUGAGCUAAUGAGGCGCGAUCUUGCCUGACAUAGAAAAUGUGCUCUCUCGUCAGGCCACUAUUGUUCAGAGGAGCUAGCCAACAAUAAGGCUAACACAAGUACUUCAAACUGAAGCUGGAAUGACUGAAAACUAGUUGCAUUUAAUUUAGUUUGACCUGUUUUCUAUUGACAUUUCUUUGUAUAUAUCCAUAAAAAAUUAUCCCAGCUGAUUCAUGAUUUUGACUGGCUGAGAAAAGCUGUCUGCCUGUCUGUCUCGUCCUGAAUCCUGACAUGUUCAUUACUAUGGGACAGUUGGAGAUUGAAUUUCAAUAUUGGAACAAUGUUGCAAAUGUCAGAGAAACAGACAGCAAGGUUUAUACAAAUCUCUGCUGUUGAAAACCAAAUGCUAGUCUUAAAGAAAUAGGGGAUAGUUUAGAUGCUUUUUAUAGUGGAAAUCAAGUUUAUAAAUAGGCUGAUGAGACAGUGGAUUGCGCAGUUAGAUGGAACAGAGUAAAUAGGCAUUUCAACGUCAUAGAUUUAACUGGUGGUAACUUGUGGAAUAGACACCGGCUGGAAUGCGGUUUUAACCAAUUGGCAUCCAGGAUUAGACUCACCCGUUGUAUAACAUUUAAUAACUAUGGUGUUACCCAGUUAACAGUUUGUUAAACUAAUAACAACAUUCAUUUCCGUCAUGUGUUCUACUAUUACUUCUAGUCAUUGAUUAUAUUAUUAAUUCACUUGUACAUAUAAAAUAGUUAAUAAAAUGUAAUGUCAUUUAUUUGUGGCAAUAGACAUUUGGGACUAAUCCAUUAGGUAAGAUACUCAUCUAUGGGUUAGUGGUUUAUGCUGUCUGUAUUCUGUCAUUUGUGAUAAAUAAAUAAAAUGCUUCAGCGAUCACCAGCGCUUGGCUUUGCACCAAUCA